RNAcentral lists this ribosomal RNA (468 nucleotides) under uncultured bacterium. RNAcentral describes it as "partial 16S ribosomal RNA". It matches the Rfam family "Bacterial small subunit ribosomal RNA", at positions 28 to 507 of the family's 1533-position model. The record is from RNAcentral.
GACGAACGCUGGCGGCGUGCUUAACACAUGCAAGUCGAACGGAAAGGCCCUGCUUUUGUGGGGUGCUCGAGUGGCGAACGGGUGAGUAACACGUGAGUAACCUGCCCUUGACUUUGGGAUAACUUCAGGAAACUGGGGCUAAUACCGGAUAGGAGCUCCUGCUGCAUGGUGGGGGUUGGAAAGUUUCGGCGGUUGGGGAUGGACUCGCGGCUUAUCAGCUUGUUGGUGGGGUAGUGGCUUACCAAGGCUUUGACGGGUAGCCGGCCUGAGAGGGUGACCGGCCACAUGGGGACUGAGAUACGGCGCAGACUGCUACGGGAGGCAGCAGUGGGGAAUAUGGCACAAUGGGCGGAAGCCUGAUGCAGCAACGCCGCGUGCGGGAUGACGGCCUUCGGGUUGUAAACCGCUUUCGCCUGUGACGAAGCGUGAGUGACGGUAAUGGGUAAAGAAGCACCGGCUAACUACGUG